UGUCAUGUAUGAAAACUCAUUUCCAACUAACCCAAAGUCAAAAAGAUUUUCUCUUAUAUUUUCUUCUGGGAAUUUUAUAAUUUUAUGUUUUACAUUUAGGUCUGUGAUCCAUGUUGAGGUAUUUUUCGUAAAAGUUUAAAAAGCAGCUUGAAGCUCAUCCUUUUGCAUAUUGAUGAUGUCGUAAGCAGAAUUCUAACAUGUUCCCCUCAAAAUAUCCCGCCCUAAUCCUUGGGGCUGUGAAUAUUAUUACAUAAUAUACCCUGAUUAUUUUAGUUUACAUGACGUGAGGCAUUAUGCAGAUGUCAUUAAGGUUACUAAUAAGUUGACAUUCAGAUUUAUCAAUAGGACAAUGAUCUUGGCGGGCUUGAUCUAAUUUACUAACUAGAGUACAGUAUUUGUAUGCUUAUUUUUGUCUGUAGCCGUGCAGUAUGCAGACAAAAUGCUAUCUUUCCCAAGCCCUUUAGGAGUAGAAUGUUUUCUCCAUCUGGCGGCAAAAGAGGAAGUCCCAAAGAUUCUAAGCAUGAGAAGGAUUUAACAUGAGGUUUCUCGUGUGAAGAUAGAGGGCUGUACGGGACAAGCGUUGCAGCCGGCCUAUAGAAGCCAGCAAGACAAGGAAACCCCAAUUCUGCAACUUGUGAGGAAUUGGAUUCUGCCAACAACCAUGUGAACGUGAAUGCAGAUUCUUGCCCGGAGUCUCCAGAUGAGGACCCAGUACAGCCAUUUCAACCUUGCAAGUUCUCGGACGAAGUCUAGGUUGUGCUGAGAGGUCCACUGCUGAGCGUGAUCACAGUACAGCACGACAGGACCCCAAGGGAAUCCUUGAUGAUGGCACAUCUCCUGCAGAGGGUGCGCUUGGCACCCAGAAACUGUAACGUCUCGAGUCAGAGGCUCCUCUCCCCAAAUCGGAAGGUUAGAUGGGGCUGGUCACAGCUGGAGAAAACUGCUCACAGAGAUGAUGUCACUGAUGCUGAGUCC
Molecule: long non-coding RNA, 975 nt
Filed under: Felis catus (domestic cat)
Lineage: Eukaryota; Metazoa; Chordata; Mammalia; Carnivora; Felidae
Description: lncRNA (ENSFCAG00000043745.2)
Source: RNAcentral